UAAAUCGCGAGAGAUAGUCUGAAGGAAGCCGCUAGCAAAUCUGUGAGCUGAUGAACAAAAACAUCAUAUGAGGCGUAGGCUGGAGACGAGCUAGCACAAGAUAGCGAAGUCAUGUGAUCUAACGGCCACCGUAAAUGAUGCAGUUGUGCAGAGAAAGUCGAUGCA
Molecule: non-coding RNA, 165 nt
Filed under: Klebsiella pneumoniae
Lineage: Bacteria; Pseudomonadati; Pseudomonadota; Gammaproteobacteria; Enterobacterales; Enterobacteriaceae
Source: RNAcentral